UGGGGGAUAUUGCACAAUGGGGGAAACCCUGAUGCAGCGACGCCGCGUGUGGGAAGACGGUCCUCUGGAUUGUAAACCACUGUCCCCAGGGACGAAAAUGACGGUACCUGGGGAGGAAGCUCCGGCUAACUACGUGCCAGCAGCCGCGGUAAUACGUAGGGAGCGAGCGUUGUCCGGAAUUACUGGGUGUAAAGGGAGCGUAGGCGGGGAUGCAAGUUGGGUGUCAAAACUACCGGCUCAACUGGUAGUCGCACUCAAAACUGCAGCUCUUGAGUGAAGUAGAGGCAGGCGGAAUUCCUAGUG
Molecule: ribosomal RNA, 303 nt
Filed under: uncultured bacterium
Lineage: Bacteria
Description: bacterial SSU rRNA
Rfam family: Bacterial small subunit ribosomal RNA
Source: RNAcentral